This 207-nucleotide ribosomal RNA is filed under the name Alcaligenes aquatilis. Its description in RNAcentral is "partial 16S ribosomal RNA". It matches the Rfam family "Bacterial small subunit ribosomal RNA", at positions 1282 to 1488 of the family's 1533-position model. The record is from RNAcentral. Lineage: Bacteria; Pseudomonadati; Pseudomonadota; Betaproteobacteria; Burkholderiales; Alcaligenaceae.
CCGAUCGUAGUCCGGAUCGCAGUCUGCAACUCGACUGCGUGAAGUCGGAAUCGCUAGUAAUCGCGGAUCAGAAUGUCGCGGUGAAUACGUUCCCGGGUCUUGUACACACCGCCCGUCACACCAUGGGAGUGGGUUUCACCAGAAGUAGGUAGCCUAACCGUAAGGAGGGCGCUUACCACGGUGGGAUUCAUGACUGGGGUGAAGUCG